GAUUGGAUCACUCGGCUCAUGUGUCGAUGAAGAACGCAGCGAAAUGCGAUAAGUAAUGUGAAUUGCAGAAUUCAGUGAAUCAUCGAAUCUUUGAACGCACCUUGCACUCCUUGGUAUUCCGAGGAGCAUGCCUGUUUGAGUGUC
This 144-nucleotide ribosomal RNA is filed under the name Leucocoprinus gongylophorus. RNAcentral's name for it is "Leucoagaricus gongylophorus partial 5.8S ribosomal RNA". It matches the Rfam family "5.8S ribosomal RNA". From Rfam's summary of the family: 5.8S ribosomal RNA (5.8S rRNA) is a component of the large subunit of the eukaryotic ribosome. It is transcribed by RNA polymerase I as part of the 45S precursor that also contains 18S and 28S rRNA. Functionally, it is thought that 5.8S rRNA may be involved in ribosome translocation. The record is from RNAcentral. Lineage: Eukaryota; Fungi; Basidiomycota; Agaricomycetes; Agaricales; Agaricaceae.